RNAcentral lists this ribosomal RNA (245 nucleotides) under uncultured bacterium. RNAcentral describes it as "partial 16S ribosomal RNA". It matches the Rfam family "Bacterial small subunit ribosomal RNA", at positions 524 to 768 of the family's 1533-position model. The record is from RNAcentral.
UACGUAGGGGGCAAGCGUUGUCCGGAAUCAUUGGGCGUAAAGCGCGUGUAGGCGGCUCGAUAAGUCUGCUGUGAAAGUUCAGGGCUCAACCCUGAAAUGCCGGUGGAAACUGUCGAGCUAGAGUCCGGGAGAGGCGAGUGGAAUUCCUGGUGUAGCGGUGAAAUGCGUAGAUAUCAGGAGGAACACCAAUGGCGAAGGCAGCUCGCUGGGACGGUACUGACGCUGAGACGCGAAAGCGUGGGGAG